This 926-nucleotide ribosomal RNA is filed under the name uncultured organism. RNAcentral describes it as "bacterial SSU rRNA". It matches the Rfam family "Bacterial small subunit ribosomal RNA", at positions 1 to 917 of the family's 1533-position model. The record is from RNAcentral.
UGGAUCCAGACUUUGAUUAUGGCUCAGGAUGAACGCUAGCGACAGGCCUAACACAUGCAAGUCGAGGGGCAGCGAAGAGGUAGCAAUACCUUUGUCGGCGACCGGCGCACGGGUGAGUAACACGUAUGCAAUCCACCUGUAACAGGGGGAUAACCCGGAGAAAUCCGGACUAAUACCCCAUAAGAUGGGCGCUCCGCAUGGAGAGCCCAUUAAAGAGAGCAAUUUUGGUUACAGACGAGCAUGCGCUCCAUUAGCCAGUUGGCGGGGUAACGGCCCACCAAAGCGACGAUGGAUAGGGGUUCUGAGAGGAAGGUCCCCCACAUUGGAACUGAGACACGGUCCAAACUCCUACGGGAGGCAGCAGUGAGGAAUAUUGGUCAAUGGUCGGCAGACUGAACCAGCCAAGUCGCGUGAGGGAAGACGGCCCUACGGGUUGUAAACCUCUUUUGUCGGAGAGUAAAGUACGCUACGUGUAGUGUAUUGCAAGUAUCCGAAGAAAAAGCAUCGGCUAACUCCGUGCCAGCAGCCGCGGUAAUACGGAGGAUGCAAGCGUUAUCCGGAUUUAUUGGGUUUAAAGGGUGCGUAGGCGGCACGCCAAGUCAGCGGUGAAAUUUCCGGGCUCAACCCGGAGUGUGCCGUUGAAACUGGCGAGCUAGAGUACACAAGAGGCAGGCGGAAUGCGUGGUGUAGCGGUGAAAUGCAUAGAUAUCACGCAGAACCCCGAUUGCGAAGGCAGCCUGCUAGGGUGAAACAGACGCUGAGGCACGAAAGCGUGGGUAUCGAACAGGAUUAGAUACCCUGGUAGUCCACGCAGUAAACGAUGAAUACUAACUGUUUGCGAUACAAUGUAAGCGGUACAGCGAAAGCGUUAAGUAUUCCACCUGGGGAGUACGCCGGCAACGGUGCAACUCAAAGGAAUUGACGGA